Molecule: long non-coding RNA, 2184 nt
Filed under: Homo sapiens (human)
Lineage: Eukaryota; Metazoa; Chordata; Mammalia; Primates; Hominidae
Description: non-protein coding LINC00612:6
Source: RNAcentral
CUUCCCGUGGCCCCGGGGCUCAGGGGCAGCCCAGGACUCUCCCUCGCCCGGCUCACGGCCCUGCCUGGGGGGCGCCUCCGGGAGCAGAUCACGAGCCCUGGGGCUCAGCCCUCAGGCGCGUCUAGCUCGGCGGUCACCCCAGUGCCGGGAGGACCCUGAAGACGCGCCCCAGGCGGCCCUACUCAGAGCCUCCUCCCAAGGCCCAGGAAUGCGGCGCUGUCGGAGGUGUGCGCGGUGGCCACACCGCUGUCCGGGUCCCCAAAGCGGGCCCCGCUCCCACUUCUCGCCUUGGCCCCGAACCCUGGGUCCAGCCCCAGCGCUUUGUGUGCGAACACCGCUCCGCCCCGGACCCAGCUCCGCCUUGGGGCCCCUCUCUGCCUGCCCCUCCGUGCCCGACUACACUGCUUCCCCUCCGGCGGGCGACUCAGCCCGGUCCAUCGUGGCGGCUUCCAGGGCGGCAGGCUCCGGGAGUACUCCCGGGGCCGGCUCCAAGGACUGUUCCCCUCCUCCCCACUCCCACUCCGCGGCGGCGGCGGGCGAGAGCGGCGACAUAGGGCCAGGGUCCGGAGCGGUGGAGGCUCCUGGCCGGGGAGCACGUCGCCCCACCCGGCAACGCGAGGAUGGUGGCGGCGCAGUCGGCUGCUUUGGGGUCUCAAGGCACAGGGGACGCGAGGCACAGAUGUCCCACAGCAGCCACUGCGGCUCCCGCAGCUGCUCCGCCGCCGCUGCCCGCCCCUCCCUGCUGCAGCUGGCGUGAUGGCAGCGGCAGCUCUGGACGCCCCACUGCUGCCACCAUCAGCCUUGUGAAAUAGGUACUACCUUAACAAAUGAAAUUGAAGCAGAGACAUGUAAUUUGCCCAAAGUUACUAAGUUAGUGACAAAGCUAGAAUUCAAGACCAAGAAGUCUAGCUUCCAUGCUCUUAACUUCCAACCAUGGUGACACCUCAAACAACUUCAGACAAAAAGGCCAGGAGAAAGUAUAUUUCAGAGCUUAAUAAACAUUAUAAUUAGCUGUCAAAUUAAGUAUCAAGCCAGGGCACAGAACAUAAAAGAAAUCAGAGUAUGGCUAUGGGAACAAGACAACAGGAUUAUAAUUUUACCUCUUGGUUCUAGUUUUUUUCUUUGUUCAUAUGGAAAUCGUUACUGAAAAGGUACUUUAAGGAUAUGCUUGUUGCAAAUCAUUAGCUGUAUCACUGACCAAGAGUGUUUAUUCCUGAAAUACUAACUGAUUGCCUACUAUCUGCCAGGCACAAUAUCCCAUGCUAUAAUACAAAAUUAAACAAAAUAGGAUUCCUCCCUUAGAAAAACUCACCGCAGAGUAAAAGAAAAAGAUACACAUCUGGGUCAUUAUAAUGAUCAGGUGCUCAAGCUAUUCAUUGCCCCAGUGGACUGGAGAUACAAUGGCCUUCUCAAGUUUUGGGGUAUUACACUCAAAUUCAUAUGUAAUACUGGAGAAAAGGCCUAAUUACAACUUAAACUGGAUUUCCCACCAGCCUGGUGGCAUGGGAAUCUUGGAAUUAAAAUUACGUAGAAUUUUUAAAAGUGAUGUAUCUUCUACAUCUGAUUUUGUGAACUGAAGUUUAUUCUUUCCAGGAAAGCAUAUAGAUACACGACAGGAAAUGAAAUGGAUACUUGUUGGGGUCAGUUUUAUGUAUAGUUUGUAUUUUAUUUUGAAAUAUGAUACACUGCUAUUCUCUUGCAUUUUCUUAUAUGUGACUCACCACUAACCCUAUAUUCCCCCAUUUCAGGCCAGUUGGUCAUAAGCAUCCAUUUGCCUCAGAGAAUACUGGGUUGUUAUGACAAGAAUAUAAAGUUGGAAAGAAAUAGAAUAUUUGAGUCUACCCUGUAAGAAUAAAAAGAAUAAAAGGGGUUUAAAUUUAUUUAGACCCUAUUGUUUAAUCAAGAAUUCUGGCCAGGAGCAGUGGUUCAUGCCUAUAAUCCCAAUGCUUUAGGAGGCCAAGGCAGGAGGAUCAUUUGAGGCCAAGAGUUUGAGACCAGCCUGGGCAAAUUAUUGCUCGGGAAAAAAAGGUCUUAUUUAGUAUUUUAGUCUUUACAAUGUUUUUUUCUAUUAUGCAAUAUUCUCUCAAAUACUUUAUGUCCAUCCACGUUGUCUGAGACAUGCCACUUUAACAUUCUAGUUAUGCUGUAGCUGUCAUUUUACCCUAAGCCGUUAGUAGUACUGAU